GACGAACGCUGGCGGCGUGCUUGACACAUGCAGGUCGAACGGUAAGGCCCUUCGGGGUACACGAGUGGCGAACGGGUGAGUAACACGUGGGUGAUCUGCCCUGCACUUCGGGAUAAGCCUGGGAAACUGGGUCUAAUACCGGAUAGGACCACUGCCUGCAUGGGUGGUGGUGGAAAGCUUUUGCGGUGUGGGAUGGGCCCGCGGCCUAUCAGCUUGUUGGUGGGGUGAUGGCCUACCAAGGCGACGACGGGUAGCCGGCCUGAGAGGGUGACCGGCCACGAUGGGACUGAGAUACGGCCCAGACUCCUACGGGAGGCAGCAGUGGGGAAUAUUGCACAAUGGGCGCAAGCCUGAUGCAGCGACGCCGCGUGAGGGAUGACGGCCUUCGGGUUGUAAACCUCUUUCAACACCGACGAAGCGCAAGUGACGGUAGGUGCAGAAGAAGGACCGGCCAACUACGUGCCAGCCGCCGCAGUAA
RNAcentral lists this ribosomal RNA (478 nucleotides) under uncultured bacterium. RNAcentral's name for it is "partial 16S ribosomal RNA". It matches the Rfam family "Bacterial small subunit ribosomal RNA", at positions 28 to 523 of the family's 1533-position model. The record is from RNAcentral.